CGCCCCUUGCAAAAACAAUUGAGGAAUAAGGGGUCCUGCCUGCCCAGUGACUUAGUUAAACGGCCGCGGUAUCUUGACCGUGCAAAGGUAGCAUAAUCAUUUGCCUCUUAAAUAGAGGCUGGUAUGAAUGGCAAGACUGGAGUUAAGCUGUCUCUUUCUUAAAACUUGAAUUUUAUAUUCUUGUGAAGAAGCGGGAAUAAAUUCGCAGGACGAGAAGACCCUAUCGAGCUUUAAUGAAUUUAUUAAUAGCAUACAAGUUUAAGUUAUCUAAUAAAGCAAUUUUGUGCUUUAAAAAUUUAAUAGCUUAUACUUUGUUAAUUAGUACAAUAAUUUUGAUUGGGGCAAUCGCGGAGAAUAAUAAACCUCCGCUAAAAAUAUUAAAAAUUACAAUUUUUAAAUGAAGUGAUCCGCUUAAAUAGCGAGCAAAGGAAUAAGUUACCGUAGGGAUAACAGCGUAAUUUUUUUGGAGAGUUCAUAUUGAUAAAAAAGUUUGCGACCUCGAUGUUGGAUCAAGAUUUCCUGGAGAUGCAGCAGUUUCCAAGGGUUGGUCUGUUCGACCAUUAAAAUCUUACGUGAUCUGAGUC
This 584-nucleotide ribosomal RNA is filed under the name Leptasterias hexactis. RNAcentral describes it as "partial 16S ribosomal RNA". It matches the Rfam family "Bacterial large subunit ribosomal RNA", at positions 1816 to 2611 of the family's 2925-position model. Lineage: Eukaryota; Metazoa; Echinodermata; Asteroidea; Forcipulatida; Asteriidae. The record is from RNAcentral.